This 460-nucleotide ribosomal RNA is filed under the name uncultured bacterium. RNAcentral's name for it is "partial 16S ribosomal RNA". It matches the Rfam family "Bacterial small subunit ribosomal RNA", at positions 338 to 795 of the family's 1533-position model. The record is from RNAcentral.
CCUACGGGAGGCUGCAGUGAGGAAUAUUGGUCAAUGGACGAGAGUCUGAACCAGCCAAGUAGCGUGAAGGAUGACUGCCCUAUGGGUUGUAAACUUCUUUUAUAUGGGAAUAAAACGUUCCACGUGUGGGAUUUUGUAUGUACCAUAUGAAUAAGGAUCGGCUAACUCCGUGCCAGCAGCCGCGGUAAUACGGAGGAUCCGAGCGUUAGCCGGAUUUAUUGGGUUUAAAGGGAGCGUAGGUGGAUGGUUAAGUCAGUUGUGAAAGUUUGCGGCUCGACCGUAAAAUUGCAGUUGAAACUGGCAGGCUUGAGUACAGUAGAGGUGGGCGGGAUUCGUGGGGUAGCGGGUAAAUGCUUAGAAAUCACGAAGAACUCCGAUUGCGAAGGCAGUUCACUGGACUGCAACUGACACUGAGGCUCGAAAGUGUGGGUAUCAAACAGGAUUAGAUACCCGAGUAGUC